This 1382-nucleotide ribosomal RNA is filed under the name uncultured bacterium. RNAcentral describes it as "bacterial SSU rRNA". It matches the Rfam family "Bacterial small subunit ribosomal RNA". The record is from RNAcentral.
AGAGUUUGAUCCUGGCUCAGGAUAAACGCUGGCGGCGCACAUAAGACAUGCAAGUCGAACGGACUUAACCAUUAGUUUACUAUUGGAGCGGUUAGUGGCGGACUGGUGAGUAACACGUAAGCAACCUGCCUAUCAGAGGGGAACAACAGUUAGAAAUGACUGCUAAUACCGCAUAUGCCUAAGUACCACAUGGUGCAAUAGGGAAAGGAGCAAUCCGCUGAUAGAUGGGCUUGCGUCUGAUUAGAUAGUUGGUGGGGUAAAGGCCUACCAAGUCGACGAUCAGUAGCCGGACUGAGAGGUUGAACGGCCACAUUGGGACUGAGAUACGGCCCAGACUCCUACGGGAGGCAGCAGUCGGGAAUAUUGCGCAAUGGAGGAAACUCUGACGCAGUGACGCCGCGUGCAGGAAGAAGGUUUUCGGAUUGUAAACUGCUUUAGACAGGGAAGAAACAAGACAGUACCUGUAGAAUAAGCUCCGGCUAACUACGUGCCAGCAGCCGCGGUAAUACGUAGGGAGCGAGCGUUAUCCGGAUUUAUUGGGUGUAAAGGGUGCGUAGACGGAGAUACAAGUUGGUUGUGAAAUCCCUCGGCUCAACUGAGGAACUGCAACCAAAACUAUAUCCCUUGAGUGUCGGAGGGGAAAGUGGAAUUCCUAGUGUAGCGGUGAAAUGCGUAGAUAUUAGGAGGAACACCGGUGGCGAAGGCGACUUUCUGGACGAUAACUGACGUUGAGGCACGAAAGUGUGGGGAGCAAACAGGAUUAGAUACCCUGGUAGUCCACACUGUAAACGAUGGAAACUAGGUGUAGGGUGUAUUAAGCACUCUGUGCCGCCGCAAACGCAUUAAGUAUCCCACCUGGGGAGUACGACCGCAAGGUUGAAACUCAAAGGAAUUGACGGGGGCCCGCACAAGCAGUGGAGUAUGUGGUUUAAUUCGAAGCAACGCGAAGAACCUUACCAGGGCUUGACAUAUACAGGAAUAACUUAGAGAUAGGUUAGCUCUUCGGAGCCUGUAUACAGGUGGUGCAUGGUUGUCGUCAGCUCGUGUCGUGAGAUGUUGGGUUAAGUCCCGCAACGAGCGCAACCCCUAUCGUUAGUUGCUAGCAGGUAAUGCUGAGAACUCUAGCGAGACUGCCGGUGAUAAAUCGGAGGAAGGUGGGGAUGACGUCAAAUCAUCAUGCCCCUUAUGACCUGGGCUACACACGUACUACAAUGGCGCUAAAACAGAGGGCAGCGACGCCGCGAGGCGAAGCGAAUCCCGAAAAAGCGUCUCAGUUCGGAUUGCAGGCUGCAACCCGCCUGCAUGAAGUCGGAAUUGCUAGUAAUCGCGAAUCAGCAUGUCGCGGUGAAUACGUUCCCGGGCCUUGUACUCACCGCCCGUCA